RNAcentral lists this ribosomal RNA (468 nucleotides) under uncultured bacterium. Its description in RNAcentral is "partial 16S ribosomal RNA". It matches the Rfam family "Bacterial small subunit ribosomal RNA", at positions 28 to 507 of the family's 1533-position model. The record is from RNAcentral.
GACGAACGCUGGCGGUGUGCUUAACACAUGCCAGUCGAACGGAAGGGCCCUGUUUGCGUGGUGUGCCCGAGUGGCGAACGGGUGAGUGACCCGAAAGUAACCUGCCCUUGCCUUUGGGAUAACGUCAGGAAACCGGGGCUAAUACCGGUACGGAGUACCCGCUGUAUGGUGGGGGCAGGAAAGUUGCGGCGGAUGGGGAUGGACUCGCGGCUUACCACCCUGUUGGUGGGGGAGUGGCUAACCAAGGCCUUGGCGGGCGGCCGGCCUGAGAGGGUGACCGGCAACAUUGGGACUGAGAUACGGCCCGGACUCCUGCGGGAGGCAGCAGUGGGGAAUAGUGCACAAUGGGCGGAAGCCUGAUGCAGCAACACCGCGUGAGGGAUGACAGCCUUCGGGUUUUAGACCGCUUUCGCCUGUGACGGAGCGUGAGUGACGGUAAUGUGUAAAUAAGCACCGGCUAACUACGUG